AAGCUUUCCAGGCAGCACAUGUACUAAAAUUGGAGUGGUACAGAGAAGGUUAGCAUGGCCCCUGGACAAGGGUAACGUGCAAACUCAUGAGACAUUUUGUAAUUUUUU
This 108-nucleotide small nuclear RNA is filed under the name Octodon degus (degu). The record is from RNAcentral. Lineage: Eukaryota; Metazoa; Chordata; Mammalia; Rodentia; Octodontidae.